UGGGGAAUAUUGCACAAUGGGGGGAACCCUGAUGCAGCGACGCCGCGUGAGCGAAGAAGGUUUUCGAAUCGUAAAGCUCUGUCCUAUGAGAAGAUAAUGACGGUAUCAUAGGAGGAAGCCCCGGCUAAAUACGUGCCAGCAGCCGCGGUAAUACGUAUGGGGCGAGCGUUGUCCGGAAUUAUUGGGCGUAAAGGGUACGUAGGCGGUUUUUUAAGUCAGGUGUGAAAGCGUGAGGCUUAACCUCAUUAAGCACUUGAAACUGGAAGACUUGAGUGAAGGAGAGGAAAGUGGAAUUCCUAGUGUAGCGGUGAAAUGCGUAGAUAUUAGGAGGAAUACCGGUGGCGAAGGCGACUUUCUGGACUUUUACUGACGCUCAGGUACGAAAGCGUGGGGAGCAAACA
RNAcentral lists this ribosomal RNA (401 nucleotides) under uncultured bacterium. RNAcentral describes it as "bacterial SSU rRNA". It matches the Rfam family "Bacterial small subunit ribosomal RNA", at positions 355 to 774 of the family's 1533-position model. The record is from RNAcentral. RNAcentral also lists the same sequence under 1 other name.